UAAAACCUCUCAUUUUCUAGCAGCUAAACACUCUUGGGUUGGGAUAAAUAACAUUUCUUUAGAUUCUUGCUAUUGUUCUCGUUGAAGGAGGAGAAAAUGACCCUAGUGUUUGUUCAUAUGAUGAAAUUAUAAGAAAUUAUCGAACAAUAAAAACUACACAUACACAAACAUGAUCGGUUUUAAAAUAUCCCUUAAUUUUUUUUAUUAAUGAUUUUUUAUUUAUUUUUUAAUGUAUAAUGUAACGUAAUUAACCACUUCGCACAACAUAUGGUAUAUUUGUGUCAAAAUAUUGAUAAACUAAUUAUUUUCAAAUAUAUUGCAUCAAAGAACAUAAGGGCAUUUAUUGUGGGAAUGAUAUCGUAAAAACUAAAACAUCGGAUGCUAACACUGCCUACAUGUAUAAGAGUUUUAGGUCAUUAUCUGAUAUUACUUUCGGCAUGUCCUGUAGUUUCAAAUUGAAACCCUUCGUAAAUUAUGGAAAAUAAGGUUAAAAAUAGUUUGUAGGAUAGAAAAAGGACCCUUGUUACCUGUCAAAUCUGCGUCAAAAAUUUGACAUUUAACAUAUCAAAAUACAAAUUAAUUUCUCAUUAACAGGUGAUCUUCCUAUUAGAGUUAAAUUUAGACUCUUUCCUGAAUUGAUGAUACCCUGUGUUCAAAGGAAAUCUCCUUGUGUGACGACGCCAUAACGGAUGACCAACAUUCUUCGAAAACUAACCGAAUGCAAGUGAACGGCGGGUGAACGCUGAUCACGAACGAACCACGGACACAUGACUAAGAAUGAUAAGUUAAUGGCAGACGAAAGGAGAGCACAAGAAAAUCCAUGACCUUUGAUCAAUCUAUUGGCUCAUAUAGGCUCAUGAUACUGAGGCAAAAUAUAUGAUUGUUCAGUACCUGUAUGUAGAUGACAAUGGAAAUAAAUCCGUUAGAACUUGUU
Ostrea edulis (European flat oyster) is the source of this 934-nucleotide long non-coding RNA. RefSeq lists it as uncharacterized. NCBI's taxonomy places the organism in Eukaryota, Metazoa, Mollusca, Bivalvia, Ostreida, Ostreidae. The record is from RefSeq and is a predicted model, not a curated record. The transcript has 3 exons.